CCUACGGGUGGCAGCAGUGAGGAAUAUUGGUCAAUGGACGCAAGUCUGAACCAGCCAUGCCGCGUGCAGGAAGACGGCUCUAUGAGUUGUAAACUUCUUUUGUACGGGGAUAAACUCAGAUACGUGUAUCUUUCUGAAUGUAUCAUACGAAUAAGGAUCGGCUAACUCCGUGCCAGCAGCCGCGGUAAUACGGAGGAUUCAAGCGUUAUCCGGAUUUAUUGGGUUUAAAGGGUGCGUAGGCGGUCGGAUAAGUCAGAUGUGAAAGUCCGAGGCUCAACCUUGGAAUUGCCUCUGAUACUGUGCGGCUAGAGAGUAGUUGAGGUAGGCGGAAUGUAUGGUGUAGCGGUGAAAUGCUUAGAGAUCAUAAAGAACACCGAUUGCGAAGGCAGCUUACCAAGCUACUUCUGACGUUGAGGCACGAAAGCGUGGGGAGCAAACAGGAUUAGAUACCCGGGUAGUC
This 460-nucleotide ribosomal RNA is filed under the name uncultured bacterium. Its description in RNAcentral is "partial 16S ribosomal RNA". It matches the Rfam family "Bacterial small subunit ribosomal RNA", at positions 338 to 795 of the family's 1533-position model. The record is from RNAcentral.